UUUGGUCUAGUAUUGGGUCUUCAGACUUGAAAAUACAUGUUCAAGGAAAAAAAAAUAGAGUUAUGUAGUUGAAUGGAGUAUAGAUGGAAUGCAACAUGGAUUUAUAGACUAAUUUUUCACUAUGUGUCUGAUUGCAUUCUCUGUCUGUCUCUAUACAAGGGAUGGUGAUAACAUUUUGGAGAGAAGGCUUAUUUAGGCUAAGGAGCAAUGCAGGCACAGUGCAAAUAAGCAUGGAUUGUCCAAGAAGAAUGAUUGCCGAAUCUUUUUUAACCAUCAGAAUAAUGUAAUUGCCUUUCUGUCUGAAUACCAGGCAGCAAGACCUAAAGUCUUAGGGCAGAGCAUGCUUGUAACAGGACACAUUUCUGGCAAGUGCAGGGUGCUGAAAGUGAAAGCAAAAAAAUUCCUUUCAGGACCGUGUAUUUAAGAUACUGUUGUCUUACUUCUGUUAUGCUGACUCAGUUUUCUUACCCUCCAAGGAGAAGGGCUCUUUCUGCUGGUGUAGGCGUUCAGCCCUCAUCCUCCUGUUGUGUUAGGAGUGGGUGACUACAGAAAAAAUAGACUGGGCACAGAAAAGCUCUUCAGAAUUGUGGGAAGACAGCUGUGCUUCUCUCCCCAGCAAAUCUAGGUAAGCAAAGCUAGCAAGGAAAGCUAAGGCUUGUAAAAGGAUGAAAGGAUUUGGGAAUGCACAGGAAUACAAACAACAAGAAGCUCUCAGGAAAAUUAGUAGAAAAUUGGUGGAUUUUUCUCCCUGUAGAAAAAUCAGGGAAGUGACUCAAAUGCUGGAAAUGGUCACACAGGUACAGAGAGUAACUGCAGGUAUAGUAACUGGAGAACAAACUGUCCUCACAAAGGCAGAGCUGCCUUCAAGGUAUGGACACAGGAAAGAAGGAAGCAAGGAGUCUAAAGGACAAAUGUCAUGGGUAUGCCCUGUUCCUUUUUUCACAGGUUCCGUGCAGCCGAUCAGUUGGGCUGCUGCUGCACAUAGGGCAUUGGGAGCGGACUCUAGUACUCAGAAGCUGGAGAUACCUAAUAAUAAUGUAUGGAAGGUCUGGCAAGACUGGCCAACUCUAAUUGGAUAUAAAUAACCUGGAAGCUCCACUGGAAUAGCUAAAAGCCAGGACUAUCAGGGUGAAAGACCUAAUGCACAUCUCUAAAAUAGGCAGAAGUGAUCCAUAUCACAACCGAUCCAGGAGAAAGAUGACACUGAAACCUGAAAGCGACUCAUUGCUUGAUGAUGCAAUGCUAAUAAAAAUAAUGCAUAGGCCUGUACAGCCUUGUUACUAGUAGACAUGAGGAGGACAAGACUAAAAGAAAUAAUCUGAGCAUAUUGUCUGGUCUCAUGAACAUGAGCUGCCACA
This 1358-nucleotide long non-coding RNA is filed under the name Strigops habroptila (Kakapo). RNAcentral describes it as "lncRNA (ENSSHBG00005002248.1)". The record is from RNAcentral. Lineage: Eukaryota; Metazoa; Chordata; Aves; Psittaciformes; Psittacidae.